This 74-nucleotide transfer RNA is filed under the name Nitrososphaerota archaeon. RNAcentral's name for it is "Thaumarchaeota archaeon tRNA-Thr". It matches the Rfam family "tRNA". From Rfam's summary of the family: Transfer RNA (tRNA) molecules are approximately 80 nucleotides in length. Their secondary structure includes four short double-helical elements and three loops (D, anti-codon, and T loops). The record is from RNAcentral. Lineage: Archaea; Thermoproteati; Nitrososphaerota.
GCCACGGUAGCUCAGCCUGGUAGAGCGUUGCCUUGGUAAGGCAAAGGUCGUGGGCUCGCAUCCCACCCGUGGCU